RNAcentral lists this long non-coding RNA (806 nucleotides) under Oryctolagus cuniculus (rabbit). RNAcentral's name for it is "lncRNA (ENSOCUG00000037215.1)". Lineage: Eukaryota; Metazoa; Chordata; Mammalia; Lagomorpha; Leporidae. The record is from RNAcentral.
AUGAAUGGCUCGACUCUCAAAGCUGGAGCUCCAAGCACGGCUCUGCGCGGGGCCUUCCCGCCAGGUGCACACGGGGCCCGGCGGGAAACCACAGUCCCGAGCACACGGGUCUCCCGCUCGCCAGUCACUGAAGGGCCGCGAAGGGCUGCGGAAUCCCCACUAAGAGCAGGCGCGCAGGCGCACAGUGCACCGAGUCCCGCGCGGCUCCGCGCACUGAGGACACGCCCCCGCGAGCGCGCUGACGUCAUCUGCCGAGGCAUGGUCACGUGGCCGCGCGGCGUCGGGGCGGGGCUACGCCAUGGCGUCAGCGAUGGUGGCGUGGGUGGCAUGGCUAUGGCGCUCUGGAGCGGAGCUGUCUUUAUCCGCUGCCAUCGAGGGGCGCAGGCGGUAUCCGCCGGUCCCGGGCUAAGAAGGCGGCAGCCGCGAACAGGUGCACGGCCCCGGGAGGCGAGAGGGCUGACCGCCGGCACGAUGCCCCGGGUCCAGAAAGCCGCGGCUGCUUUGUUAUCCACAAGGAGAGGCGUCGGAGACGCCCACGGCCCCUGACACCGGCGCUGCUGCAUGGCUGCCCCAGCGCCUGGCACGAGCCACGUCGGCUGACGCCCCCAGGAUGCCAGAGCCGGAAGAGACCCGAGGAACGGUCCCCUCGGUGGCUGUCCGGCCGACCCGUGGGGCCUGUGCUCGGUGAGGACGUGGAGGGUUGUGGCCAGCAAGUCACCUCACUUGUGUUGGUCCUCGGGGUUCUGUGCUGAGUGCCCCAAGUCAUCUGGCUGAGAGAAGGUCCCAGGGGGUUUGCCGUCCCCAAG